AUGAACGCUGGCGGCGUGCCUAACACAUGCAAGUCGAACGAAGCAUGCGCCGACGAAGAGGAGUGCUUGCACGAAUCGGAGUCAAUUGUGAUGACUUAGUGGCGGACGGGUGAGUAACGCGUGGGUAACCUGCCUAUACAGGGGGAUAACAGUUAGAAAUGACUGCUAAUACCGCAUAAGCGCACAGUAUCGCAUGAUACAGUGUGAAAAGCCGAGACGGUAUAGGAUGGACCCGCGUCUGAUUAGCCGGUUGGCAGGGUAACGGCCUACCAAAGCAACGAUCAGUAGCCGGCCUGAGAGGGUGAACGGCCACAUUGGGACUGAGACACGGCCCAAACUCCUACGGGAGGCAGCAGUGGGGGAUAUUGCACAAUGGGGGAAACCCUGAUGCAAGCGACGCCGCGUGAGCGAAGAAGUAUUUCGGUAUGUAAAGCUCUAUCAGCAGGGAAGAAAAUGACGGUACCUGACUAAGAAGCUCCGGCUAAAUACGUGCCAGCCGCUGC
Molecule: ribosomal RNA, 503 nt
Filed under: uncultured bacterium
Lineage: Bacteria
Description: bacterial SSU rRNA
Rfam family: Bacterial small subunit ribosomal RNA
Source: RNAcentral